GACGAACGCUGGCGGCGUGCUUAACACAUGCAAGUCGAACGGUGAACUCCGCUUGCGGGGGGAUCAGUGGCGAACGGGUGAGUAACACGUGGGCAACCUGCCCUCAGCUCUGGGAUAACUCCAAGAAAUUGGGGCUAAUACCGGAUAUGACCGCUGACCGCAUGGUCUGGUGGUGGAAAGAUUUAUCGGCUGGGGAUGGGCCCGCGGCCUAUCAGCUUGUUGGUGGGGUAGUGGCCUACCAAGGCGACGACGGGUAGCCGGCCUGAGAGGGUGACCGGCCACAAUGGGACUGAGACACGGCCCAGACUCCUACGGGAGGCAGCAGUGGGGAAUAUUGCGCAAUGGGCGAAAGCCUGACGCAGCGACGCCGCGUGGGGGAUGACGGCCUUCGGGUUGUAAACCUCUUUCAGCAGGGACGAAGCGAAAGUGACGGUACCUGCAGAAGAAGCACCGGCCAACUACGUG
RNAcentral lists this ribosomal RNA (465 nucleotides) under uncultured bacterium. RNAcentral describes it as "partial 16S ribosomal RNA". It matches the Rfam family "Bacterial small subunit ribosomal RNA", at positions 28 to 507 of the family's 1533-position model. The record is from RNAcentral.